UGGGGAAUAUUGCACAAUGGGCGAAAGCCUGAUGCAGCGACGCCGCGUGAGGGAUGACGGCCUUCGGGUUGUAAACCUCUUUCAGUAGGGACGAAGCGCAAGUGACGGUACCUACAGAAGAAGCACCGGCCAACUACGUGCCAGCAGCCGCGGUAAUACGUAGGGUGCGAGCGUUGUCCGGAUUCACUGGGCGUAAAGAGCUCGUAGGCGGUUUGUCACGUCGUCUGUGAAAACCCGAGGCUUAACCUCGGGCCUGCAGGCGAUACGGGCAGACUUGAGUACUGUAGGGGAGACUGGAAUUCCUGGUGUAGCGGUGGAAUGCGCAGAUAUCAGGAGGAACACCGGUGGCGAAGGCGGGUCUCUGGGCAGUAACUGACGCUGAGGAGCGAAAGCGUGGGUAGCGAACAGG
This 409-nucleotide ribosomal RNA is filed under the name bacterium. Its description in RNAcentral is "partial 16S ribosomal RNA". It matches the Rfam family "Bacterial small subunit ribosomal RNA", at positions 355 to 776 of the family's 1533-position model. The record is from RNAcentral. RNAcentral also lists the same sequence under 2 other names.